UACGGGGGGAGCAAGCGUUGUUCGGAUUUACUGGGCGUAAAGGGCGCGUAGGCGGCCACAACAAGUCACUUGUGAAAUCUCCGGGCUUAACCCGGUAGCGGCCAAGUGAUACUGUUGGGCUAGAGUGCGGAAGGGGCAACUGGAAUUCUCGGUGUAGCGGUGAAAUGCGUAGAUAUCGAGAGGAACACCUGCGGCGAAGGCGGGUUGCUGGGCCGACACUGACGCUGAGGCACGAAAGCGUGGGGAUCAAACAGG
RNAcentral lists this ribosomal RNA (255 nucleotides) under uncultured bacterium. RNAcentral describes it as "partial 16S ribosomal RNA". It matches the Rfam family "Bacterial small subunit ribosomal RNA", at positions 524 to 776 of the family's 1533-position model. The record is from RNAcentral.